AUGCUGGACCUCAGCUAUAAUAAAUUCAGCAGUGUGCUCACGGAGGAGCAUUUCGCGGGUCUACUGAAUUUAGAGUAUCUGGACUUGUCGUACAACUCUUUGAGAUUAGUUAUCAAACAAAAAUGGGUUCCUCCAUUUAGAUUGAAGGUCGCACGUUUUGCUUCAUGCCAACUGGGCCUAAGUUUUCCAGAGUGGCUUAGAUGGCAAUCUGACAUUGAUGUUCUUGUUGUCAGUAAUGCAAAUCUGGAUGAUGUUAUUCCUGAUUGGUUUUGGGUGACAUUUUCCCGAGCUUCAUUCUUGCGAGCAUCAGGAAACAAAUUGCAUGGCUCAUUACCGGGAGAUCUACAACACAUGUCAGCUGACCACAUAUAUCUUGGGUCCAAUAAGUUUACCGGAGAAGUUCCACGGUUACCUAUAAAUAUAGUAAGACUGAACCUAUCUUCAAACUCUUUAUCUGGUUCAUUGCCAUCAGAGUUAAAUGCUCCACUACUCGAAGAGUUUUUGCUUGCAAACAAUCAAUUCAUAGGCACCAUUCCGUCGUCUAUAUGCCAAUUGACUAAACUGAAAAGGUUGGACCUAUCAGGAAAACAGUUAACAGGAGAUAUUAUGCAGUGCCAAAAGGCACUUGUUCCAAACUCUACAGAUCAAUUUGGCUCUGACAUGCUGAGCUUAGCCUUGAAUAACAACGAUCUCACUGGUGAAUUCCCUAAAUUUCUUCAAAGGUCAUCAGGAUUAAUGUUCCUUGAUCUUUCUUACAACAGGUUAUUUGGAGGACUGCCAGAAUGGUUACCCCAAAAAAUGCCACACAUGAAAAUAUUAAGAGUGAGAUCAAAUAUGUUCAGUGGUCAUAUUCCUAAGAGUCUCACUUCCCUUCAUGGUCUUCAUUAUUUGGAUAUAGCACACAACAACAUGACAGGAAGCAUACCAUGGUCUUUGUCAAACCUGAAGGCAAUGAUGACAAUGGUGUCACAGGACACGGGUGAUUAUAUUUAUGAGGAGAGCAUCCCAGUAAUCACAAAGGAUCAAAAGCGUGACUACACCUUUGCAAUCUACCAGCUAUUGGUUGUUCUUGAUUUGUCAAGUAAUAGUUUGGCAGGACAGGUUCCAGAGGAGAUAACUUUACUCAUUGGGCUUACCAAUCUAAACUUGUCAAAUAAUCAGCUCACAGGAGUAAUCCCAAACAAAAUUGGUGAUUUAAGGCAGCUGGACUCACUCGACCUGUCCAUCAAUGAAUUUUCUGGUGAAAUACCAUCAAGUUUGUCUGCUUUAACUUAUUUGAGCCACUUGAACUUGUCAUACAACAAUUUGUCUGGUGCAAUACCAUCCGGCCAACAGCUACAAGCUCUUGCUAACCAGAUGUAUAUCUACAUCGGUAACCCUGGUCUUUGUGGAGAUCCUGUCGGCAGGAACUGCUCAAGACAUGAUGCAGAGCAAAGUGACCUCGAAGACAUAGAUCAUAUGCCAUCUGUUUAUCUUGCCAUGAGCAUUGGAUUUGUGGUGGGUCUGUGGACAGUUUUCUGCACCAUGUUGAUGAAGAGAACAUGGAGGGCUGCCUUCUUCCAGUUUGUUGAUAUGAUGUACGACAUGGUUUAUGUGCAAGUGGCUGUAAGGUGGGCUCACGUGAUGGAGACAACUCAAGACGGUGCACCAUGA
Molecule: ribosomal RNA, 1653 nt
Filed under: Triticum aestivum (bread wheat)
Lineage: Eukaryota; Viridiplantae; Streptophyta; Magnoliopsida; Poales; Poaceae
Description: partial small subunit ribosomal RNA
Source: RNAcentral